GACGAACGCUGGCGGCGUGCCUAACACAUGCAAGUCAACUUGAAGGAAGGAGCAAUCUGACCUGAUGGUGGCGCAAGGGUGCGUAACGCGUAAGUAACUUGCCCAAGGUAAGGAAUAACGUCGAGAAUCGGCGCUAAUACCUCAUAAUGCAGCGGAUCCGCAUGGAUAUGUUGUUAAAGGUUUACCGCCUUGGGAUAGGCUUGCGUCUGAUUAGCUAGUUGGUGUGGUAAUGGCGCACCAAGGCUACGAUCAGUAACUGGUCUGAGAGGAUGAUCAGUCACACUGGAACUGAGACACGGUCCAGACUCCUACGGGAGGCAGCAGUGAGGAAUAUUGGGC
Molecule: ribosomal RNA, 339 nt
Filed under: uncultured bacterium
Lineage: Bacteria
Description: bacterial SSU rRNA
Rfam family: Bacterial small subunit ribosomal RNA
Source: RNAcentral